RNAcentral lists this ribosomal RNA (489 nucleotides) under uncultured bacterium. RNAcentral's name for it is "partial 16S ribosomal RNA". It matches the Rfam family "Bacterial small subunit ribosomal RNA", at positions 30 to 507 of the family's 1533-position model. The record is from RNAcentral.
AUUGAACGCUGGCGGCAGGCCUAACACAUGCAAGUCGAACGGUAACAGGAAGAAGCUUGCUUCUUUGCUGACGAGUGGCGGACGGGUGAGUAAUGUCUGGGAAACUGCCUGAUGGAGGGGGAUAACUACUGGAAACGGUAGCUAAUACCGCAUAACGUCGCAAGACCAAAGAGGGGGACCUUCGGGCCUCUUGCCAUCGGAUGUGCCCAGAUGGGAUUAGCUAGUAGGUGGGGUAACGGCUCACCUAGGCGACGAUCCCUAGCUGGUCUGAGAGGAUGACCAGCCACACUGGAACUGAGACACGGUCCAGACUCCUACGGGAGGCAGCAGUGGGGAAUAUUGCACAAUGGGCGCAAGCCUGAUGCAGCCAUGCCGCGUGUAUGAAGAAGGCCUUCGGGUUGUAAAGUACUUUCAGCGGGGAGGAAGGGGUAAAGUUAAUACCUUUGCUCAUUGACGUUACCCGCAGAAGAAGCACCGGCUAACUCCGUG